This 48-nucleotide non-coding RNA is filed under the name Schistosoma mansoni. The record is from RNAcentral. Lineage: Eukaryota; Metazoa; Platyhelminthes; Trematoda; Strigeidida; Schistosomatidae.
AUCUAGCUGACGAGUCGAAAACAGGACGAUGUGGCACGCGUCCUAGAU